RNAcentral lists this ribosomal RNA (421 nucleotides) under uncultured bacterium. Its description in RNAcentral is "partial 16S ribosomal RNA". It matches the Rfam family "Bacterial small subunit ribosomal RNA", at positions 360 to 773 of the family's 1533-position model. The record is from RNAcentral.
AAUAUGGUACAAUGGGGGCAACCCUUAUCCAGCUAUGCCGCGUGUGUGAAGAAGGUCUUCGUAUUNUAAAGCACUUUAAGUUGGGANGAAGGGCUUUAGGUUAAUACACUGACGCUUUCACGUUACCAACUGAAUAAGCACCGGCCAACUCUGUACCAGCAGCCGUGGUAAUAAAGAGUGUGCAAGCGUUAAUCGGAAUUACUGGGCGGAAAGCGCGGGUAGGUGGUUCAGUAAGAAGGUUGUUAAAUCCCAGGGCUUAACCUGGGAGCUGCUUUCAUAAAUGCUGGGCUAGUGUAGGGUAGAGGGUAGUGGAAUUUCCUGUGUAGCGGUGGAAUGAGUAGAUAUAGGAAGGAGCAUCAGUGGCGAAGGCGACUACCUGGACUACUACUGACACUGAGGUGCGAAAGCGUGGGGAGCAAAC